Molecule: transfer RNA, 93 nt
Filed under: Actinomycetota bacterium
Lineage: Bacteria; Bacillati; Actinomycetota
Also listed under: 1 other name
Description: tRNA-Ser
Rfam family: tRNA
About the family: Transfer RNA (tRNA) molecules are approximately 80 nucleotides in length. Their secondary structure includes four short double-helical elements and three loops (D, anti-codon, and T loops).
Source: RNAcentral
GGAGAGAUGGCCGAGUGGUCGAAGGCGCACGAUUGGAAAUCGUGUAUACGGUGUCGAGCCGUAUCUAGGGUUCAAAUCCCUAUCUCUCCGCCA